RNAcentral lists this ribosomal RNA (495 nucleotides) under uncultured bacterium. RNAcentral's name for it is "partial 16S ribosomal RNA". It matches the Rfam family "Bacterial small subunit ribosomal RNA", at positions 30 to 507 of the family's 1533-position model. The record is from RNAcentral.
UGACCGCUGGCGGCGUGCCUCAUACAUGCAAGUCGAGCGAACGGACGAGAAGCUUGCUUCUCUGAUGUUAGCGGCGGACGGGUGAGUAACACGUGGAUAACCUACCUAUAAGACUGGGAUAACUUCGGGAAACCGGAGCUAAUACCGGAUAAUAUUUUGAACCGCAUGGUUCAAAAGUGAAAGACGGUCUUGCUGUCACUUAUAGAUGGAUCCGCGCUGCAUUAGCUAGUUGGUAAGGUAACGGCUUACCAAGGCAACGAUGCAUAGCCGACCUGAGAGGGUGAUCGGCCACACUGGAACUGAGACACGGUCCAGACUCCUACGGGAGGCAGCAGUAGGGAAUCUUCCGCAAUGGGCGAAAGCCUGACGGAGCAACGCCGCGUGAGUGAUGAAGGUCUUCGGAUCGUAAAACUCUGUUAUUAGGGAAGAACAUAUGUGUAAGUAACUGUGCACAUCUUGACGGUACCUAAUCAGAAAGCCACGGCUAACUACGUG